Molecule: long non-coding RNA, 318 nt
Organism: Suricata suricatta (meerkat)
Lineage: Eukaryota; Metazoa; Chordata; Mammalia; Carnivora; Herpestidae
Exons: 2
Source: RefSeq, a predicted model, not a curated record
AGGAGGUGCUUUAAGAAGAGCAUACUCAUAAACCAGAGGCAGUGUGGUCUGUUACAGGAGGUUCAAUUCUCUGUUAUUGAAGACACAGUGGUUGCAGUGAUCGGCCUUUUGCAGAAGAUUGAAAGGGCCAUUUGGCACAAGCUUGGAAGACAAAGGCACUACAUGAAAAUCUGACUAUUACUGACAUUUUGAAUAUAGCUACCUUCAAAAUCCAGAAGAAAGAAGCAGAAAAUACUAGGUUUUGGUGUAUACCUUCAUGGUUUAUACAUAUUAUCAUAUGUGAUUUUCACAGCCAUCCUAUAAAAUGAUUUUUAUUUA